AUGCCACAACUCUUCCUGGAAUUAUACUGUCAACUUAUGCUGAAUUUUUUAUUUGUAUGUAGGCCACAAGUGAUAAUUGCUACAUCUAUUAUGUUCUGUCACCGUUUUUACCUUCGUCAAUCUCAUGCAAAAAAUGAUAGACGAACAAUCGCUACUGUUUGCAUGUUCUUGGCUGGAAAAGUCGAAGAAACACCCAGGCCUUUGAAGGAUGUCAUCCUGGUUUCUUAUGAGCUUAUUCAUAAAAAGGAUCCUGCUGCUGGUCAGAAAAUCAAGCAGAGGGCAGCGGGAGCGCCGGUCCAGACCAUGGACGCAGCUUGGUCGAGCUAUAACGAGUGCAUCUAA
Molecule: ribosomal RNA, 342 nt
Filed under: Triticum aestivum (bread wheat)
Lineage: Eukaryota; Viridiplantae; Streptophyta; Magnoliopsida; Poales; Poaceae
Description: partial small subunit ribosomal RNA
Source: RNAcentral